CAUCAUUUCUUCUUCUCUCUUCUCUAUGACGUUCUCUUCCACAAUUCUCUCUAUAUGCUGUUGAAGUAGAGAUAGCUGAGGCUUUAGGGGUUGGAUCCAUUAGAAUGGAUGACAUUACCGAUUGUAAAUUUUAUACAGUAGGAUUUUAGUUUUUCAAUUUUCUUUUGCAAAAAUUAAAACUGUUAAAAUAAAUUUUCUUUGCCAUUCUACUCGGCUCAAAAUUUCAUUCCUAGCUGGGAAAAGGCCGACAACAGCUACAGGCUGGCAAAAGGGAUGACUGCAAAGUCUAGCAAGGGAUAUGAAGAAAUGCAAUGGGCAACUAAAGCCCAACAUCUAGGCAGCAUACCCCGCAAGAUGACGUUCAUGACGGUGGGAGCAUUCACCAAGGUUGUGUCUAAUCUGUUCAACACAACUACCGUGAACAACAUCAACACUCUCCUCCAUCUUGUCCGAUCCCACCCACCAGCCUGCCUCUCCUUACCGUUAGUAAUCACAUGCAGUGAAUGGUCGUGGUGCAAAAGACUCGCUGGAAUGGGCUUAUAGAGGAGAAGGCACUUUCAAUCUGGUUAUUGCUUAUUGUGGAAAAUGUCCUAAUUUUAUAUGUUUUCUUCUUUUCUUUUUUACCCUUACCUUUUAUUGAAUUAACUAAUUUUGGGUU
Molecule: long non-coding RNA, 658 nt
Organism: Olea europaea var. sylvestris
Lineage: Eukaryota; Viridiplantae; Streptophyta; Magnoliopsida; Lamiales; Oleaceae
Exons: 2
Source: RefSeq, a predicted model, not a curated record